Molecule: ribosomal RNA, 645 nt
Filed under: Triticum aestivum (bread wheat)
Lineage: Eukaryota; Viridiplantae; Streptophyta; Magnoliopsida; Poales; Poaceae
Description: partial small subunit ribosomal RNA
Source: RNAcentral
AUGACCUUGGCUAAAGCGGUCCUCACGGCUGUGGCCAUCUACCAUAUCACUCCGCUGGACCUCCCGGUGGAGGUGCUACAGAAGCUAGAUAGCCUGCGAAGAGCCUACCUCUGGGAGGGAACGGACUCUGUGUCCGGCGGCAAGUGCAAAAUUAACUGGGAGCAAGUUUGCAGACCCAAGCAUUUUGGGGGCCUGGGAAUUCUCAAUCUGAAAAAGUUCGCCACCGCGCUCCGUCUUAGAUGGCUUUGGCUGGAGUGGGAUGACCCGCCAAGGGUUUGGUGCAGUACAGAGAUCCCUUGUGGCAAGGAAGAUUGCGACAUUUUUGCAGCCGCCACCAAGGUCACUAUUGGUGAUGGCACAAAAGCCAAAUUCUGGGAGUCACCUUGGUUGGAUGGCGUCCUCCCCAAAGACAUUGCCCCAAAAAAUUUUGAGCUAUCAAGGAAAAAGUGCAUCACUGUUGCCUCGGCCAUCAGAGACGAUAACUGGGUCAGCUUGAUUGAUAUAAGCGCGGGACUAUCUCUGGAUCAUCUUGAACAAUUUUUCGCUCUAUGGAGCAAGCUAUUGCCCAUCAACCUACAGCCUGGUGUCUUGGACACCAUCCUAUGGAAGCUCUCCAAUGAUGUGUUAGAGUUGUGUCGAAUAUAG